Molecule: ribosomal RNA, 478 nt
Filed under: uncultured bacterium
Lineage: Bacteria
Description: partial 16S ribosomal RNA
Rfam family: Bacterial small subunit ribosomal RNA
Source: RNAcentral
GACGAACGCUGGCGGCGUGCUUAACACAUGCAAGUCGAACGGUAAGGCCCUUCGGGGUACACGAGUGGCGAACGGGUGAGUAACACGUGGGUGAUCUGCCCUGCACUUCAGGAUAAGCCUGGGAAACUGGGUCCAAUACCGGAUAGGACUCCGGACUGCAUGGUCUGGGGUGGAAAGCUUUUGCGGUGUGGGAUGGGCCCGCGGCCUAUCAGCUUGUUGGUGGGGUGAUGGCCUACCAAGGCGACGACGGGUAGCCGGCCUGAGAGGGUGACCGGCCACACUGGGACUGAGAUACGGCUCAGACUCCUACGGGAGGCAGCAGUGGGGAAUAUUGCACAAUGGGCGCAAGCCUGAUGCAGCGACGCCGCGUGAGGGAUGACGGCCUUCGGGUUGUAAACCUCUUUCAGCAUCGACGAAGCGAAAGUGACGGUAGGUGCAGAAGAAGGACCGGCCAACUACGUGCCAGCAGCCGCCGCGG